Syzygium oleosum is the source of this 749-nucleotide long non-coding RNA. RefSeq lists it as uncharacterized. The record is from RefSeq and is a predicted model, not a curated record. Lineage: Eukaryota; Viridiplantae; Streptophyta; Magnoliopsida; Myrtales; Myrtaceae. The transcript has 2 exons.
GUCAUUACCACAAUCUCGAUACGGCGGGGAAAUUUCGGUCUAGAGGCAGUGAAGGCCAUAACAUGAAAUUAGUGGUGCAAGGAAGAAUGUGUAUAUAUAUAACCACGACUACGGGCCAUAUAAAUCAUAGUCAUGACCAUGAUUGUUUCUAGUUUACUAAUAUAGGGUUUCGGAUUUUAGGUUUAAGAGUUUAGGGUUUCUUAAGCAUAGUUGGUUUCAUUUCUUUAAUCAGACAUAAGUGUGCGUAAUUUGUCUCUAUGAACUAUGCAGUGUGUACAACUACAGGCCAUAUGAAUCAAGGUCAUGACCAUGAUUGUUCCUAGUUUACUAAUAUAGGGUUUAGGAUUUUAGGUUUAAGGGUUUAGGGUUUUUAAAGCAUAGAUAGUUUCAUUUCCUUAGUUAGACACAAGUGUGUAUAAUUUGUCUCAAUGACAUUUACAAUGUGCACAUAACCACAGAGUACAAGCCAUAUUAAUCAUAGUCAUGACCAUGAUUGUUCCUAAUUUACACAUAGAAAAUUUGACAUAUAGAGUUUAGGGUUUUAGGGUUUAGGGUUCUUUCGGUACGGUUAGCUUCAUUUGCUUGAUUAGACACAAGUGUGCGUAAAUUUGUCUCUACGACAUUUGCCGUUCCCUUUUCUGAGGAUUGUAAGUUUCGAUUGAUCUCGUUUUCAUAAUGCAUACACCCAUAAAUUUGUGUAAUUUUGACUUAAACCGUAAUUAAUCACUUUUAUUUCAACCCUUGAAGAA